AGUGAACGCUGGCGGCAGGCCUAAUACAUGCAAGUCGAACGGCAGCACAGCAGAGCUUGCUCUGUGGGUGGCGAGUGGCGGACGGGUGAGGAAUACGUGGGAAUCUGCCCAGUCGUGGGGAUAACGUAGGGAAACUUACGCUAAUACCGCAUGCGCCCUUCGGGGAAAGCCGGGGACCUUCGGCCUGGCGCGAUUGGAUGAGCCCACGUCGGAUUAGCUAGUUGGCGGGGUAAAGGCCCACCAAGGCGACGAUCCGUAGCUGGUCUGAGAGGAUGAUCAGCCACACUGGAACUGAGACACGGUCCAGACUCCUACGGGAGGCAGCAGUAGGGAAUAUUGGACAAUGGGCGGCAAAGCCUGAUCCAGCCAUGCCGCGUGAGUGAAGAAGGCC
RNAcentral lists this ribosomal RNA (391 nucleotides) under uncultured bacterium. RNAcentral describes it as "bacterial SSU rRNA". It matches the Rfam family "Bacterial small subunit ribosomal RNA", at positions 30 to 416 of the family's 1533-position model. The record is from RNAcentral.